Molecule: transfer RNA, 75 nt
Filed under: Alkalilimnicola ehrlichii MLHE-1
Lineage: Bacteria; Pseudomonadati; Pseudomonadota; Gammaproteobacteria; Chromatiales; Ectothiorhodospiraceae
Also listed under: 9 other names
Description: tRNA-Val (CAC) (tRNA-Val-CAC-1-1)
Rfam family: tRNA
About the family: Transfer RNA (tRNA) molecules are approximately 80 nucleotides in length. Their secondary structure includes four short double-helical elements and three loops (D, anti-codon, and T loops).
Source: RNAcentral
GGGCGGUUAGCUCAGCGGGAGAGCACUGCCUUCACACGGCAGGGGUCGCUGGUUCAAUCCCAGCACCGCCCACCA